AACCCGUGAUGUGGGCACUCUCUUUGGUAGACAUUGAAUCGUUCCCAUGCAUCGCAGAACGGCCCAUCUGCUAGCUGCUUGAAGGUCGUGAUCUUCUGUCUCAAAGCU
This is a small nucleolar RNA of Raphanus sativus (radish), 108 nucleotides long. Lineage: Eukaryota; Viridiplantae; Streptophyta; Magnoliopsida; Brassicales; Brassicaceae. The record is from RefSeq and is a predicted model, not a curated record.